This 323-nucleotide ribosomal RNA is filed under the name uncultured bacterium. RNAcentral's name for it is "bacterial SSU rRNA". It matches the Rfam family "Bacterial small subunit ribosomal RNA", at positions 396 to 736 of the family's 1533-position model. The record is from RNAcentral.
GCCGCGUGAGCGAAGAAGGCCUUCGGGUCGUAAAGCUCUGUCCUAAGGGAAGAAUCAUGACGGUACCUUAGGAGGAAGCCCCGGCUAACUACGUGCCAGCAGCCGCGGUAAUACGUAGGGGGCAAGCGUUAUCCGGAAUCACUGGGCGUAAAGGGUGCGUAGGCGGUCAAAUGGGCCAGAGGUGAAAGGCUACGGCUUAACCGUAGUAAGCCUUUGAAACUGUUUGACUUGAGUGCAGGAGAGGAGAGUGGAAUUCCUAGUGUAGCGGUGAAAUGCGUAGAUAUUAGGAGGAACACCAGUGGCGAAGGCGACUCUCUGGACUG